UACGAAGGUGGCAAGCGUUACUCGGAAUUACUAGGCGUAAAGCGCAGGUAGGUGGUUGUGUAAGUCUGCUGUGAAAGCUCCCGGCUUAACUGGGAGAGGUCAGCGGAUACUGCAUAGCUAGAGUGUGGGAGAGGGUACUGGAAUUCCCGGUGUAGCGGUGAAAUGCGCAGAGAUCGGGAGGAACACCAAAGGCGAAAGCAGGUACCUGGACCAUUACUGACACUGAGCUGCGAAAGCUAGGGGAG
RNAcentral lists this ribosomal RNA (245 nucleotides) under uncultured bacterium. Its description in RNAcentral is "partial 16S ribosomal RNA". It matches the Rfam family "Bacterial small subunit ribosomal RNA", at positions 524 to 768 of the family's 1533-position model. The record is from RNAcentral.